AAGAGCUACACCAGUUUUUGGAAUUUCAGUUGCCGAGGCAAUGGGCUCCAGUGUUCAGUGAACUUCCUCUUGGUCCACAACGGAAGCGGCAAAAUACAGCAUCUUUGCAAUUUAGUCUCAUGGGGCCUAAGCUUUUUGUGAACAUUACUCCGGUUGAUGUUGGUAAGAGGCCAGUGACUGGCCUUCGGCUUUAUCUAGAAGGUAAAAGAAGCAACCGCUUGGCCAUACAUUUGCAGCACCUUUCAUCUCUUCCAAAUAUCUUUCAGCUCGCAGAUGAUCCACAUGGUAAUUUCCAUCAGGAGUCCUAUGAUCAUAAAUACUAUGAGAAAGUUCAAUGGAAGAAUUUCUCUCAUGUUUGUACUGCUCCUGUUGAGUCUGAUGAGGA
Molecule: unclassified non-coding RNA, 385 nt
Filed under: Hevea brasiliensis (rubber tree)
Lineage: Eukaryota; Viridiplantae; Streptophyta; Magnoliopsida; Malpighiales; Euphorbiaceae
Source: RNAcentral